Molecule: long non-coding RNA, 1322 nt
Organism: Brienomyrus brachyistius
Lineage: Eukaryota; Metazoa; Chordata; Actinopteri; Osteoglossiformes; Mormyridae
Exons: 3
Source: RefSeq, a predicted model, not a curated record
CAGGUAGGACAGAAAACCUAUUGCACUGUGGUGAUCUGUUUGUUUUUUAGUAAUAAUUGAAUGUCAUGCACAGGUCACAACGCACUACUGAAUUAUUUUCACGUCACAGCAGAGUGGAUGGUAAUGGACUGUGGGGUCUGAGGAUGGGUGCAUACAUUCACCUGAAUGUCAGACAGAUGGCGUAGAGGUGGAGGUGUACUGAUGUUGGUGGAGGCAGAAGCAGAUGGAUAAGAGAUGCUGGUGGCAGAAGACGACAGAUGACACCUGGUGACUGCAACAGGAAGAAAAAUAUGCAAAGGUGUAGGAGACCGAAGCGGCGAUUGAGAUAGAAGAGGCUUAGAGAGAAAUAGCUUUCGCUACCACUGUCAGCCAGCGGAUUCCAAAGAAAGGGGAUUCUCCUAGAGCACCAAGGAAACCUGCAUCUACGAGUGACACAGAGGGGCCUGAGAAGAGCAUGCAGAAGAACUGGCUUUUGCGGAUGCAGAAGUUAUGUAAAAUCAACGAAAAACAUUAAUAUGAAGUAGACGUCACAUGGGAGGUGAUGCUUCCCUUUGACCAUAACAGCUACGGCUGAGAUGAAGUGUAAACGUCCGUUACGCGGUUUCUGAACAUGACCACAUAUCGCUGAGGAUUCAGAAAUACGCUGGAGGGAUUAUCUAGAGAGAUCCAUUUUUUUAGGGUCACAGAAUAAAUGAGGGGGUGGGGUGUGUAAACCUAAAGAUGAAAAAAAAUCUAAUUUAAUGGAGAAAAAGUUGACAUCACAAUAAGAGAGAGAAAAAACACACAUCCACAAAGUAUCUGACCAUUUGGAUACCCAGGGUCAUGAAGAGCAGAGCUCAGCUUUGAUGUUCCUGACAAAAGAGAGUCAUAUUACUAUAAUGAUGCAAGAGCAUGAUGGUCCAGCUGUAGGCAAUUAACACGAGCGAUGAAGGUUACCUGGCGCGCCCUGCUGAGACGGAUGGCAGCUCCGUUAUUUGGAAACAAAAAAAAGGGAAAAGCACAGAUGAAGUAGGACAGCUUAAGUCUCUUCGAGAGCAAGAUCACCUUUUGGGCUCAACUGUGACUUCAAGAUACAAAUCAAUGUCCUUGCCUAAUCAUUUUGUCCAUUGAUGCCGGGUCCAUACUUUCUCAUUAAUUUCUAGUUCUAGUCACAAUUAAAUAUAACAAUAGGCCUUUAUUUGUUUUACUUAUUGUCUUUGUUUUUUUACCUUUUUGACGACCUAUUUUUUUUUUACUUUUUAACUCUUACCCUGAAUUUCAAUUGCGCUGUGACACCAAGUCAAAUUCCUGCGCGGUUGGGGAAUAAACUGCUGCUGAUUCUG